RNAcentral lists this ribosomal RNA (441 nucleotides) under uncultured bacterium. RNAcentral describes it as "partial 16S ribosomal RNA". It matches the Rfam family "Bacterial small subunit ribosomal RNA", at positions 338 to 795 of the family's 1533-position model. The record is from RNAcentral.
CCUACGGGAGGCAGCAGUGGGGAAUAUUGCACAAUGGGGGCAACCCUGAUGCAGCGACGCCGCGUGGGUGAAGGAGUAUUUCGGUAUGUAAAGCCCUAUUAGUAGGGAAGAAAACUGACGUAACCUGACUAAGACGCACCGGCUAAAUACGUGCCAGCAGCCGCGGUAAUACGUAGGGUGCAAGCGUUAUCCGGAUUUACUGGGUGUAAAGGGAGCGCAGGCGGCGCGUUAAGCCUGGUGUGAAAGCCCGAGGCUCAACCGCGGAACUGCAGUGGGAACUGGCGGGUUGGAGUGCAGGAGGGGUAGGCGGAAUGCCUAGUGUAGCGGUGAAAUGCGUAGAUAUUAGGAAGAAAACCAGUGGCGAAGGCGGCCUACUGGACUGUGACUGACGCUGAGGCUCGAAAGCGUGGGGAGCAAACAGGAUUAGAUACCCUAGUAGUC